AAUAAGUGCACCACCCCUGUGUUUAAGACAGACGGACAGACAGCAGCUCUUCUCUGUGCUCUUCAGUCUUGAGUCUUUAAGAUGUCUGCAAACGCUCUGAUCAUCUGCGCUCUCCUGCUCUCUGCUGCUGGUUGUUUUGCAGAGAUUAUCCUGACUCAGAGUCCGUCAGUGGAUCUGGUGUCUGUGGGAAGCAGCGUCACUCUCAACUGCAGGUCCAGCAGUACUGCUGUAACAAACGGUUUAGUCUGGUAUCAGAAGAGACCCGGACAAACACACAAACUCCUGUUUUACUAUCUUAAUAGCAGAGUGUCUGGAGUUUCUGAAAGAUUCACUGAUGAGAAAUCAGGAACAAACUUCAUGCUCAAAAUCAGAAAUGUCCAGCCUGAAGAUGCAGGAGAUUAUUACUGUCAGCAGUAUGCUCAAUUACCAAGGACACAGUGAUACAUAGCCGUACAAAAACCCACAGCAUUAAAAGAGGAACU
Non-coding RNA from Danio rerio (zebrafish), 482 nucleotides. The record is from the annotation of a RefSeq genome assembly. Lineage: Eukaryota; Metazoa; Chordata; Actinopteri; Cypriniformes; Danionidae.